GGCCAGGUUGCAAAAUGAACCAGGACAGCCAAGUGAUGCAGCAACUAAUGAUGUGGAACAAUCUGAGGACAAUGCCAAUAAUCCUAUGGAUGCAAUUGAUCCACAGGUUUUGGAGGAACAUUUCCAGUUGGUUAAUAACUUCAUUCAAACAGAAAUGAAUAACCAACCAAGUGAAACUCAACAAAUUCAAGUGACAACCAUAUCACAGGUAAU
Molecule: long non-coding RNA, 213 nt
Organism: Dioscorea cayenensis subsp. rotundata (Guinea yam)
Lineage: Eukaryota; Viridiplantae; Streptophyta; Magnoliopsida; Dioscoreales; Dioscoreaceae
Exons: 3
Source: RefSeq, a predicted model, not a curated record